This 463-nucleotide ribosomal RNA is filed under the name uncultured bacterium. RNAcentral's name for it is "partial 16S ribosomal RNA". It matches the Rfam family "Bacterial small subunit ribosomal RNA", at positions 28 to 507 of the family's 1533-position model. The record is from RNAcentral.
GAUGAACGCUGGCAGAAUGCUUAACACAUGCAAGUCUUUGGCGAAGCUGUGCUUGCACAGCCUAGCCAGGGCGGACGGGUGAGUAACGCGUAAGGAACUUGCCCUGCAGUCAGGGAUAACAGACGGAAACGACUGAUAAGACCUGGUAAAGUCAGGCGGACUCAUGUCCAGCCUGAUGAAAAGAGAUGCUGCAGGAGAGCCUUGCGUCCUAUUAGCUUGUUGGUGGGGUAACGGCCCACCAAGGCGAUGAUAGGUAGCCGGCCUGAGAGGGUGGACGGCCAAAAGGGGACUGAGAUACGGCCCUUGCUCCUACGGGAGGCAGCAGGGGGGAAUAUUGGACAAUGGGGGCAACCCUGAUCCAGCAAUUCUGUGUGCACGAUGAAGGUUUUCGGAUUGUAAAGUGCUUUCAGCAGGGAAGAAAAAAAUGACGGUACCUGCAGAAGAAGCGACGGCUAAAUACGUG